CGACGGGCCGGGCGAGCAGCGGGGCUGGGGCGCGGGGUGAGGAGGCGGCUGAGGCGCGCAGGGCGUCCCGGCCCGGUGCCGGUGCUGCAGGGGGCGGGUGCCGCGGCGCCGCCGCGGAGCGCAGGUGCCGGCAGCAGUCUGCUGCCGGCGGGGCACGGGUCAGGCCUGCGGAGGACCCCGGCGGCAGGCAGGGUGCCCGGCGGGGUUGAGACUCAACCGCCUCUAUGUGAUUUCAUGUAGUGGUUAGACACCGAGCAAUCUCAGGAGGACAAGGACCAUGUUGAGCGUCAAGCAAGGUGGGCUGCGGAAAGGUGGCAGCGAAUGAGGCAUGAGGAACAGAUGGAGGAGAAGCGGAAGAAAGACCAGGAAGAAAUCCAGAGGAGGAUUGAAGAAGUGGAACGUCAAGAGGCUGAGGAACGUGAGGCUGACAGGGAGAGGAAGCGAGAGAGGGCUCGCCGUACUAAGGAAGCAGGGCCCAAAGCUAUUAGGAAGGGGAAAUAUCCCCGGUGCACUCAGUGAAGCACCAUCAUGUAAUCCCGACAAUUUGAAUUCCCUAAGGCGUGUUAGGUUUAGUUCGAACAUGAGAUUAUCAUGUUGCACAUGCCACUGCAGUUCGUGGUUUAAGUACUAAGGCCUCUGCGUGAUUUACCGUACUAGUACCAACACAUUAGGACUUUGCUUUGUAAUCCUUAUCAUGACAUUAUUUACAUAAUUAUAAUGCAAACCGGGACUAUGCCCUAUUAUUUUCA
Panicum virgatum (switchgrass) is the source of this 749-nucleotide long non-coding RNA. RefSeq lists it as uncharacterized. The record is from RefSeq and is a predicted model, not a curated record. NCBI's taxonomy places the organism in Eukaryota, Viridiplantae, Streptophyta, Magnoliopsida, Poales, Poaceae. The transcript is spliced from 2 exons.